This 27-nucleotide small RNA is filed under the name Bombyx mori (domestic silkworm). Its description in RNAcentral is "ovarian small RNA-15702". The record is from RNAcentral. Lineage: Eukaryota; Metazoa; Arthropoda; Insecta; Lepidoptera; Bombycidae.
GAGAGACAACGAUGGCUGCGAAGCGAU